Molecule: non-coding RNA, 84 nt
Organism: Cordylochernes scorpioides
Lineage: Eukaryota; Metazoa; Arthropoda; Arachnida; Pseudoscorpiones; Chernetidae
Source: the annotation of a GenBank genome assembly
GUCAGGAUGGCCGAGCGGUCUAAGGCGCUGCGUUCAGGUCGCAGUCUACUCUUGUAGGCGUGGGUUCAAAACCAACUUCUGACA